AUCCAUCUGACGCGUCCGGAAUAGGACGAAACGCAUAUCCUGGAU
Molecule: non-coding RNA, 45 nt
Filed under: Schistosoma curassoni
Lineage: Eukaryota; Metazoa; Platyhelminthes; Trematoda; Strigeidida; Schistosomatidae
Source: RNAcentral